RNAcentral lists this ribosomal RNA (463 nucleotides) under uncultured bacterium. Its description in RNAcentral is "partial 16S ribosomal RNA". It matches the Rfam family "Bacterial small subunit ribosomal RNA", at positions 28 to 507 of the family's 1533-position model. The record is from RNAcentral.
GAUGAACGCUGACAGAAUGCUUAACACAUGCAAGUCGAUGGGGAAGUGGUGCUUGCACCAUGGCAACCAUGGCGGACGGGUGAGUAACGCGUAAGGGACUUACCUGCAGGACUGGGAUAACAGGGGGAAACUCCUGACAAGACCGGAUAAUGUCAUGGGGCUGCAUGGCUUUAUGAUGAAAGGAGACGCCUGCGGAGAGCCUUGCGUCCUAUUAGCUAGUUGGUGAGGUAAUGGCUCACCAAGGCGAAGAUAGGUAGCCGGCCUGAGAGGGUGGACGGCCACAAGGGGACUGAGAUACGGCCCUUACUCCUACGGGAGGCAGCAGUGGGGAAUAUUGGACAAUGGGGGCAACCCUGAUCCAGCAAUUCUGUGUGCACGAAGAAGGUUUUCGGAUUGUAAAGUGCUUUCAGCAGGGAAGAAGUAAGUGACGGUACCUGCAGAAGAAGCGACGGCUAAAUACGUG